This 76-nucleotide transfer RNA is filed under the name Stygiolobus azoricus. It matches the Rfam family "tRNA". From Rfam's summary of the family: Transfer RNA (tRNA) molecules are approximately 80 nucleotides in length. The record is from Rfam by way of RNAcentral. Lineage: Archaea; Thermoproteati; Thermoproteota; Thermoprotei; Sulfolobales; Sulfolobaceae. RNAcentral also lists the same sequence under 6 other names.
GGGGGCGUAGUCUAGCUUGGACUAGGAUGCCAGGCUUGGGCCCUGGUGGUCGCGGGUUCAAAUCCCGCCGCCCCCA